UUGCACCUGUCGGUUCUAAGGCAAACAAGGAGAGAAAAACUUCUCAAGCCCUAAGUGAAAUCCCUUCGUUCACACAGGAGACCCUCUCGGUUUCCUCUAGCCCGCACAACUUCUCACUUUUCUUCAAGCCGAUUCCUUCCAUUUCCUAAGCUUAAAAUCCAACCGAAGUUCUUCAAGGAAAAUGAUUCUGUAUGGAUGAAGAGGCCAUGGAGCCAGACACUACCGAGGAGGGAGGGGCCAAUGCUUAGUGUUCCCCUGUCGGUUCGACCUUUUAAUGAUAAUGGUUUAUAUUUUUUUAUGUUUUACGAUGGUUCCCAUGUUGGGACGUUUUGUUGGAUUAAAUUUAAGACAAUAUAUAUCCUUUGGGUAUGAUGUAAAUACUAUGGUGGGGUGAUGGUAACCCCACAUACAAUGGUUUAACACAUUUUUGUAUGUGUUGUAGGGAUUGAGUCCCCUCUUAUUUAGAACCAGUUAUGUUUUGAUGAAUGAAUGAUGGACUCUGAGAGUCCUUUAUUUAAAA
Juglans microcarpa x Juglans regia is the source of this 520-nucleotide long non-coding RNA. RefSeq lists it as uncharacterized. The record is from RefSeq and is a predicted model, not a curated record. The transcript has 2 exons. Lineage: Eukaryota; Viridiplantae; Streptophyta; Magnoliopsida; Fagales; Juglandaceae.